GUCUCAGUACCCCUUCAACUCUGCUGCCGCAGCUGAAACAUCUUCCCGUGGAAGCGCCAUGGCUUCAGAGAAGAAAUUGAGCAAUCCCAUGAGGGAUAUCAAGGUCCAGAAGCUUGUCCUCAAUAUCUCCGUCGGUGAGAGUGGAGAUCGACUCACCAGAGCAGCGAAAGUCUUGGAGCAACUCAGCGGUCAAUCCCCUGUUUUCUCUAAGGCAAGGUAUACUGUGCGGUCCUUUGGAAUCAGGCGUAAUGAAAAGAUAGCUUGCUAUGUGACUGUCAGAGGGGAGAAAGCUAUGCAGCUUCUUGAGAGUGGAUUGAAAGUUAAGGAAUACGAGUUGUUGAGAAGGAACUUCAGU
Molecule: unclassified non-coding RNA, 355 nt
Filed under: Hevea brasiliensis (rubber tree)
Lineage: Eukaryota; Viridiplantae; Streptophyta; Magnoliopsida; Malpighiales; Euphorbiaceae
Source: RNAcentral